RNAcentral lists this microRNA (22 nucleotides) under Callorhinchus milii (elephant shark). RNAcentral's name for it is "eshark_NOVEL_7". Lineage: Eukaryota; Metazoa; Chordata; Chondrichthyes; Chimaeriformes; Callorhinchidae. The record is from RNAcentral.
ACAAAUUCUGAAACGCUGCAGA